UAGAUGAAUUUGGUGCUUGCACCAAAUGAAACUAGAUACAAGCGAGCGGCGGACGGGUGAGUAACACGUGGGUAACCUGCCCAAGAGACUGGGAUAACACCUGGAAACAGAUGCUAAUACCGGAUAACAACACUAGACGCAUGUCUAGAGUUUAAAAGAUGGCUCUGCUAUCACUCUUGGAUGGACCUGCGGUGCAUUAGCUAGUUGGUAAGGCAACGGCUUACCAAGGCAAUGAUGCAUAGCCGAGUUGAGAGACUGAUCGGCCACAUUGGGACUGAGACACGGCCCAAACUCCUACGGGAGGCAGCAGUAGGGAAUCUUCCACAAUGGACGCAAGUCUGAUGGAGCAACGCCGCGUGAGUGAAGAAGGGUUUCGGCUCGUAAAGCUCUGUUGGUAGUGAAGAAAGAUAGAGGUAGUAACUGGCCUUUAUUUGACGGUAAUUACUUAGAAAGUCACGGCUAACUACGUGCCAGCAGCCGCGGUAAUACGUAGGUGGCAAGCGUUGUCCGGAUUUAUUGGGCGUAAAGCGGGUGCAGGCGGUUCAAUAAGUCUGAUGUGAA
RNAcentral lists this ribosomal RNA (561 nucleotides) under uncultured Bacilli bacterium. RNAcentral's name for it is "bacterial SSU rRNA". It matches the Rfam family "Bacterial small subunit ribosomal RNA", at positions 64 to 598 of the family's 1533-position model. Lineage: Bacteria; Bacillati; Bacillota; Bacilli. The record is from RNAcentral.